CCGAUAGAUCAUCAUGCCUGGAAUGGCCGAUGGUUGAAAUGAUUUAUCGCCAUAGGAUGGGACUGCGAUCUAUCAGCUUGUUGGUGAGGUAAUGGCCCACCAAGGCUAUAACAGAUACGGGCUCUGAGAGGAGAAGCCCGGAGAUGGGUACUGAGACACGGACCCAGGCCCUAUGGGGCGCAGCAGGCGAGAAAACUUUGCAAUGUGCGAAAGCACGACAAGGUUAAUCCGAGUGGUUCCUGCUAAAGGAACCUUUUGCCGGUCCUAAAAACACCGGUGAAUAAGGGGUGGGCAAGUUCUGGUGUCAGCCGCCGCGGUAAAACCAGCACCUCAAGUGGUCAGGAGGAUUAUUGGGCCUAAAGCAUCCGUAGCCGGCUGUGUAAGUUUUCGGUUAAAUCCAUGCGCUCAACGUAUGGGCUGCCGGGAAUACUGCACAGCUAGGGAGUGGGAGAGGUAGACGGUACUCGGUAGGGAGGGGUAAAAUCCACUGAUCUAUCGAUGACCACCUGUGGCGAAGGCGGUCUACUAGAACACGUCCGACGGUGAGGGAUGAAAGCUGGGGGAGCAAACCGGAUUAGAUACCCGGGUAGUCCCAGCUGUAAACAAUGCAAACUCAGUGAUGCGCUGGCUUAAA
RNAcentral lists this ribosomal RNA (634 nucleotides) under uncultured crenarchaeote. RNAcentral's name for it is "bacterial SSU rRNA". It matches the Rfam family "Archaeal small subunit ribosomal RNA", at positions 153 to 788 of the family's 1478-position model. Lineage: Archaea; Thermoproteati; Thermoproteota. The record is from RNAcentral.